Molecule: long non-coding RNA, 209 nt
Filed under: Elaeis guineensis (African oil palm)
Lineage: Eukaryota; Viridiplantae; Streptophyta; Magnoliopsida; Arecales; Arecaceae
Description: long non-coding RNA (EGUI_LNC019860)
Source: RNAcentral
CCAUCUCCCCUCUCCUCUCUCCCUCUCCCCUCUCCCUCUUCAUGCUCACGCCCCUCUCUUCCCACCAACAAGCCUGUCGUCGGUGCCAUCCGUCAUCCGCACCACCGUUGUCGUUGCCGUCACCAUCUCGAAGGUAAGGUUCUUCGAACCUCUUUUUUUUUGUGUUGAUCGGGCCAUCAAGGGGCAGAGGGGGUUGCGAGGGGGAGGGG